UCGGGAAUUUUGGGCAAUGGGCGAAAGCCUGACACAGCAACGCCGCGUGAAGGAUGAAGUCCCUCGGGAUGUAAACUUCGUAAGAAUAGGAAGAAUAAAUGACGGUACUAUUUGUAAGGUCCGGCUAACUACGUGCCAGCAGCCGCGGUAAUACGUAGGGACCAAGCGUUGUUCGGAUUUACUGGGCGUAAAGGGUGCGUAGGCGGCAUAUCAAGUCACUUGUGAAAUCUCCGGGCUUAACUCGGAACUGCCAAGUGAUACUGAUGUGCUAGAGUGCAGAAAGGGCAACUGGAAUUCUUGGUGUAGCGGUGAAAUGCGUAGAUAUCAAGAGGAACACCUGAGGCGAAGGCGAGUUGCUAGGCUGACACUGACGCUGAGGUACGAAAGCUAGGGGAGCGAACGGGAUUAGAUACCCUAGUAGUCCCUGAGCGGGCUGGCAAGGCGCAU
Molecule: ribosomal RNA, 447 nt
Filed under: uncultured bacterium
Lineage: Bacteria
Description: bacterial SSU rRNA
Rfam family: Bacterial small subunit ribosomal RNA
Source: RNAcentral